Molecule: ribosomal RNA, 420 nt
Filed under: Heremites auratus (Golden grass mabuya)
Lineage: Eukaryota; Metazoa; Chordata; Lepidosauria; Squamata; Scincidae
Description: partial 16S ribosomal RNA
Rfam family: Bacterial large subunit ribosomal RNA
Source: RNAcentral
UUGUCUUCUAAAUAAAGACCUGUAUGAACGGCUAAAUGAGGAUAAACCUGUCUCUUAUAACCAACCAGUGAAACUGAUCUCCCAGUACAAAAGCUGGGAUAAUUUCAUAAGACGAGAAGACCCUGUGGAGCUUAAAACAAACCACCAACUACAUCAACUAGUAUGGUAUAAUGUCUUAAGUUGGGGCGACUUCGGAAUAAACACAACUUCCGAGCACAGAACCACCACUUCAUAUCAAGGCCAACAAGCCAAAGUACUAACUUGACCCGGCCCACGCCGAUCAUCGAACCAAGUUACCCCAGGGAUAACAGCGCUAUCUUCUUCAAGAGUCCCUAUCAACAAGAAGGUUUACGACCUCGAUGUUGGAUCAGGACACCCAAAUGGUGCAGCCGCUAUUAAAGGUUCGUUUGUUCAACGAUU